RNAcentral lists this ribosomal RNA (253 nucleotides) under uncultured bacterium. RNAcentral describes it as "partial 16S ribosomal RNA". It matches the Rfam family "Bacterial small subunit ribosomal RNA", at positions 524 to 776 of the family's 1533-position model. The record is from RNAcentral.
UACGAAGGGGGCUAGCGUUGUUCGGAAUUACUGGGCGUAAAGGGCGCGUAGGCGGCGUGUCAAGUCAGGCGUGAAAGCCCCGGGCUCAACCUGGGAACCGCGCUUGAGACUGGCAUGCUCGAGUUCGGGAGAGGAUGGUGGAAUUCCCAGUGUAGAGGUGAAAUUCGUAGAUAUUGGGAAGAACACCGAUGGCGAAGGCAGCCAUCUGGACCGACACUGACGCUGAGGAGCGAAAGCGUGGGGAGCAAACAGG